AUGAAUGUUGGAUGAUCCAUAGCCCUCGAUCUAUGAUAUGACGAUAUGAUAUGUACGGUACGGAAAGUAAGACCAGUGGGACCCAUUCUACGUUCGCUGGCACUUUGUAAGGGAAAGACCAGGACCCAUUCUAUGUUCUGGCACAGUUGGACACUGUUAUGUUAUGAUAUGUAAGGGAAAGACCAGGACCCAUUCUACGUUCUGGCACAGUUGGACC
RNAcentral lists this long non-coding RNA (217 nucleotides) under Manihot esculenta (cassava). Its description in RNAcentral is "long non-coding RNA (MESC_LNC008587)". Lineage: Eukaryota; Viridiplantae; Streptophyta; Magnoliopsida; Malpighiales; Euphorbiaceae. The record is from RNAcentral.